UGCCAGCAGCCGCGGUAAUACGGAGGAUCCAAGCGCUAUCCGGAAUCAUUGGGUUUAAAGGGUCCGUAGGUGGAUAAUUAAGUCAGAGGUGAAAUCCUGCAGCUCAACUGUAAAAUUGCCUUUGAUACUGGUGGUCUUGAGUUAUGGUGAAGUGGCUGGAAUAUGUAGUGUAGCGGUGAAAUGCAUAGAUAUUACAUAGAACACCGAUUGCGAAGGCAGGUCACUAACCAUAUACUGACGCUGAUGGACGAAAGCGUGGGGAGCGAACAGGAUUAGAUA
RNAcentral lists this ribosomal RNA (279 nucleotides) under uncultured bacterium. RNAcentral describes it as "partial 16S ribosomal RNA". It matches the Rfam family "Bacterial small subunit ribosomal RNA", at positions 506 to 784 of the family's 1533-position model. The record is from RNAcentral.